RNAcentral lists this transfer RNA (69 nucleotides) under Loxodonta africana (African savanna elephant). It matches the Rfam family "tRNA". Rfam says of the family: Transfer RNA (tRNA) molecules are approximately 80 nucleotides in length. Lineage: Eukaryota; Metazoa; Chordata; Mammalia; Proboscidea; Elephantidae. The record is from Rfam by way of RNAcentral.
GGUGGGGCAUACAGUUAAUGCACUUGGCUGCUAACCAAAAGUUUGGAGGUUCGAACCCUUUCAGAGCCU